This 85-nucleotide transfer RNA is filed under the name Felis catus (domestic cat). It matches the Rfam family "tRNA". From Rfam's summary of the family: Transfer RNA (tRNA) molecules are approximately 80 nucleotides in length. Their secondary structure includes four short double-helical elements and three loops (D, anti-codon, and T loops). Further hydrogen bonds mediate the characteristic L-shaped molecular structure. tRNAs have two regions of fundamental functional importance: the anti-codon, which is responsible for specific mRNA codon recognition, and the 3' end, to which the tRNAs corresponding amino acid is attached (by aminoacyl-tRNA synthetases). tRNAs cope with the degeneracy of the genetic code in two manners: having more than one tRNA (with a specific anti-codon) for a particular amino acid; and 'wobble' base-pairing, i.e. permitting non-standard base-pairing at the 3rd anti-codon position. The record is from Rfam by way of RNAcentral. Lineage: Eukaryota; Metazoa; Chordata; Mammalia; Carnivora; Felidae.
GCCUGGGUGGCUCAGUCGGUUGAGCGUCCGACUUCGGCUCGGGUCACGAUCUCCCGGUUCACGGGUUCGAGCCCCGCGUCGGGCU